This 497-nucleotide ribosomal RNA is filed under the name uncultured bacterium. RNAcentral describes it as "partial 16S ribosomal RNA". It matches the Rfam family "Bacterial small subunit ribosomal RNA", at positions 28 to 507 of the family's 1533-position model. The record is from RNAcentral.
GAUGAACGCUGGCGGCGUGCCUAAUACAUGCCAGUCGAGCGAACAGACGAGGAGCUUGCUCCUCUGACGUUAGCGGCGGACGGGUGAGUAACACGUGGAUAACCUACCUAUAAGACUGGGAUAACUUCGGGAAACCGGAGCUAAUACCGGAUAAUAUAUUGAACCGCAUGGUUCAAUAGUGAAAGACGGUUUUGCUGUCACUUAUAGAUGGAUCCGCGCCGCAUUAGCUAGUUGGUAAGGUAACGGCUUACCAAGGCAACGAUGCGUAGCCGACCUGAGAGGGUGAUCGGCCACACUGGAACUGAGACACGGUCCAGACUCCUACGGGAGGCAGCAGUAGGGAAUCUUCCGCAAUGGGCGAAAGCUUGACGGAGCAACGCCGCGUGAGUGAUGAAGGUCUUCGGAUCGUAAAACUCUGUUAUUAGGGAAGAACAAAUGUGUAAGUAACUAUCCACGUCUUGACGGUACCUAAUCAGAAAGCCACGGCUAACUACGUG